GCGGGCGUAACUCAGUGGUAGAGUGUCAGCUUCCAAGCUGAAGGUCGCGGGUUCGAAUCCCGUCGCCCGCUCCA
This 74-nucleotide transfer RNA is filed under the name Nitrospirota bacterium. Its description in RNAcentral is "Nitrospirae bacterium (hot springs metagenome) tRNA-OTHER". It matches the Rfam family "tRNA". From Rfam's summary of the family: Transfer RNA (tRNA) molecules are approximately 80 nucleotides in length. Their secondary structure includes four short double-helical elements and three loops (D, anti-codon, and T loops). Further hydrogen bonds mediate the characteristic L-shaped molecular structure. tRNAs have two regions of fundamental functional importance: the anti-codon, which is responsible for specific mRNA codon recognition, and the 3' end, to which the tRNAs corresponding amino acid is attached (by aminoacyl-tRNA synthetases). tRNAs cope with the degeneracy of the genetic code in two manners: having more than one tRNA (with a specific anti-codon) for a particular amino acid; and 'wobble' base-pairing, i.e. permitting non-standard base-pairing at the 3rd anti-codon position. Lineage: Bacteria; Pseudomonadati; Nitrospirota. The record is from RNAcentral.